Molecule: long non-coding RNA, 902 nt
Filed under: Gossypium barbadense (sea-island cotton)
Lineage: Eukaryota; Viridiplantae; Streptophyta; Magnoliopsida; Malvales; Malvaceae
Description: long non-coding RNA (GBAR_LNC014967)
Source: RNAcentral
UUUUGAGCUUGUUGCUGCUGUUGAUGGUGCAAAUGUGACUUUUGCUGCGGUAACGAUGGUGGAUGAUGUAAUGGUGGAGCUGCUGUAGGAAUUGGAGUCGGUGGUUGAACAACUGGUGUGGCUGGUUGUGUCGGCGGAGGUGGAACCGAGGGGAUAGUACUAACAGUUGUGGGUAACUGUAUGGUCUGACCAGUAAUCUUCUGCAAAAAGGAAAUAAUGGCAGCAUCCCUAGAAGAAGCAAUGGCUCGUUCUUGAGCUAUAAGUUCAUGUUCGCGGGCCAAUCUUGCCAUCUCUUGUCUUUUCCAAGCUUCUUCUCUAAUCAUCCUAUCUUGCUCUCUCUUCUCUAUGGAUUCUAAAAAAGUUUGCUGCAACGCUUCUUGUUUCUGCAUCACCUGUUUCAUUAAACCCUCAAAGAACUCCAUCAUCCUCUUCCUGCUACUACUACUACUACAACCCUCUCUUGACGACGACUGCCUUUUACGUUUACGACUACUGCCACCCAUGUCCGUCGACGGUUCCCUCCCGAUUUCAUCUUCAUCUUCAAAGCCCUGAGAAGAGGAAGAGCUAUUAGAAGAGAAGCUGAUUCCAAAUGGAGUGGCAGGAGGAGGUGGUGGAGCGGAUCCAGGCAUGGGUAACAUAGACGAGGACAUUGGGAUAGCAGUUGUAGUAGUAGUAGUAGUAGGUGGAAUCCAGACGGAAGAGAUGGGCAUAGGGAUCCCAACCGAAAUGGGAGCCACGUCGAGGCUGGCGGAGGUGGCUAGCGUGAUGGGUGGUUUUGACAGAGUGGCAGAAGUUGUAUUGAGAGCCUCUAGCUCGCUGAAAAACUUGUAACUCUUACCAUCUUGACGCCCACCUCGACUAUCUUUUGUUCGCUUGUAGUACUUGUGGACGUUCUCGAAUUU